CCUACGGGCGGCAGCAGUGAGGAAUAUUGGUCAAUGGACGCGAGCCUGAACCAGCCAAGUAGCGUGAAGGAUGACUGCCCUAUGGGUUGUAAACUUCUUUUAUAAAGGAAUAAAACGAGGCACGUGUGCCUUUUCGCAUGUACUUUAUGAAUAAGGAACGGCCAACCUCGUGCCAGCAGCCGCGGUAAUACGGAGGAUCCGAGCGUUAUCCGGAUUUAUUGGGUUUAAAGGGAGCGUAGAUGGGUUGUUAAGUCAGUUGUGAAAGUUUGCGGCUCAACCGUAAAAUUGCAAUUGAUACUGGCAGUCUUGAGUGCAGUAGAGGUAAGCGGAAUGCGUGGUGUAGCGGUGAAAUGCUUAGAUAUCACGAAGAACCCCGAUUGCGAAGGCAGCUUACUAGACUGUGACUGACAUUGAUGCUCGAAAGUGUGGGUAUCAAACAGGAUUAGAUACCCGGGUAGUC
This 460-nucleotide ribosomal RNA is filed under the name uncultured bacterium. RNAcentral describes it as "partial 16S ribosomal RNA". It matches the Rfam family "Bacterial small subunit ribosomal RNA", at positions 338 to 795 of the family's 1533-position model. The record is from RNAcentral.